GGCCAUGGAGUCCUACGACAACAUCGCCAACCAGCCGGUAGUCAUCGACAAUGGUUCAGGGGUGAUCAAGGCUGGUUUUGCAGGAGACCAGAUUCCUAAGUACUGUUUCCCAAACUAUGUUGGACGGCCCAAGCACAUGCGGGUUAUGGCUGGAGCCCUGGAGGGGGACCUCUUCAUUGGACCGAAAGCAAAGGAGCACCGGGGGCUACUGACCAUCCGCUACCCCAUGGAGCAUGGCGUGGUACGAGACUGGAAUGACAUGGAGCGUAUCUGGCAGUACGUCUACUCUAAGGACCAGCUGCAGACCUUCUCCGAGGAGCACCCUGUUCUUCUAACGGAGGCCCCACUGAACCCCAGUAAGAACCGGGAGAAGGCGGCAGAGGUGUUCUUUGAGACCUUCAAUGUUCCUGCACUGUUUAUCUCCAUGCAGGCCGUGCUCAGCCUGUAUGCAACAGGACGCACAACAGGAGUGGUUUUAGACUCAGGAGACGGGGUCACUCAAGCUGUCCCCAUCUAUGAGGGCUUUGCCAUGCCACACUCCAUCAUACGGGUAGACAUUGCGGGCCGUGACGUCUCUCGAUAUUUGAGGCUGCUGUUGCGCAAGGAAGGGGCUGACUUCUACACCUCGGCUGAGUUUGAGGUUGUCCGGACCAUCAAAGAGCGAGCCUGCUACCUGUCCAUCAACCCACAAAAGGAGGAGGCUUUAGAGACCAAGAAGGUGCAGUACACCCUUCCAGACGGCAGCACAAUUGAUGUGGGGCCUGCAUGCUUCCGGGCCCCUGAGCUGCUGUUCCAACCAGACCUGUUGGGGGAUGAGAGUGAGGGGCUCCAUGAAGUACUGGCCUUCGCCAUCCACAAGUCUGACAUGGACCUUCGACGGACACUCUUCUCCAAUAUUAUGCUCUCAGGGGGUUCAACACUCUUUAAAGGCUUUGGAGACAGGUUACUAAGUGAGGUAAAGAAGCUCGCUCCAAAGGACGUUAAAAUCAAGAUCUCAGCUCCUCAGGAACGGCUAUACUCCACAUGGAUUGGCGGCUCCAUCCUUGCCUCCCUGGACACCUUCAAGAAGAUGAACCGCCCCUUAUACACGUCAAAGUCACAGUCACGUUCUUUAAAACAAAGGCCUCCAUAGCCCCCAUACACCUCUGACAGGGAUGGCCUGCUAAGAGCUAGCCUGCUGGAUUGGAAAAGAGCUACAGCUGAGGGAAGCAGCUAGACUAAGCCUUGAGUUGUACAGAAAAGGCCUCAAGUGGCCAAUCAAUGCCUGAGCACCUGGAAGCAGAGAUGGUCACUUACAGCAAAGAGUGGAAACGACACCUUACACUUCACCUUCCAAACAGGUCAGUAAGAUAGGGGAAGGGCCUUUCUCUUAAGGCUUUCCAUCCCUGAAUUCAAAUUUUAACAUAAAAUGAAAAGAUAUUGCCAUUUUACAGAAAUUUGUUUUGAGAAUUUCACCAACAACGUAUCAUGAACAUGAUGGCUGAGGGGAGCUGUUGCCCUCCUCCCCAAUUUAUAUUUCCAUGGGUACUUCUGAAGAAGAGAAACUCCUCACAUAUGAAAAUUUAGUAAAUACCUAAAUAUCAAUAUUGAGUUCAAAUUAUUGUUAUUUUGAGUCAAGUUCUAUGUUGCCCAGACUCAGGUGAUCCUCUCACUGCAAAUUCUCAAAUAAAUGGGAUUAUAAAUGGCA
Cricetulus griseus (Chinese hamster) is the source of this 1687-nucleotide non-coding RNA. NCBI's taxonomy places the organism in Eukaryota, Metazoa, Chordata, Mammalia, Rodentia, Cricetidae. The record is from RefSeq and is a predicted model, not a curated record.